Small nuclear RNA from Delphinapterus leucas (beluga whale), 105 nucleotides. NCBI's taxonomy places the organism in Eukaryota, Metazoa, Chordata, Mammalia, Artiodactyla, Monodontidae. The record is from Ensembl.
GCUCACUUCGGCAGCACAUAUACUAAAACUGAGACGGUACAGAGAAGAUUAGCGUGGCCCCUGCGCAAGGAUGACACACAAAUUCGUGAAGCGUUCCAUGUUUUU